RNAcentral lists this ribosomal RNA (164 nucleotides) under uncultured Bacillaceae bacterium. RNAcentral describes it as "partial 16S ribosomal RNA". It matches the Rfam family "Bacterial small subunit ribosomal RNA", at positions 365 to 526 of the family's 1533-position model. Lineage: Bacteria; Bacillati; Bacillota; Bacilli; Caryophanales; Bacillaceae. The record is from RNAcentral.
UUCAUGGACGAAGUCUGAUGGAGCACGCCGCGUGAGCGAUGAAGGCCUUCGGGUCGUAAAGCUCUGUUGUUAGGGAAGAACAAGUACCGGAGUAACUGCCGGUACCUUGACGGUACCUAACCAGAAAGCCACGGCUAACUACGUGCCAGCAGCCGCGGUAAUAC